Long non-coding RNA from Exaiptasia diaphana, 583 nucleotides. RefSeq lists it as uncharacterized. The record is from RefSeq and is a predicted model, not a curated record. The transcript is spliced from 3 exons. Lineage: Eukaryota; Metazoa; Cnidaria; Anthozoa; Actiniaria; Aiptasiidae.
AAUACCCCAUGUAGGUUUAUGGUAAAUAGGUCUGUAUCUAGGAAUACUAAAUAUUAAUAAAUUGAGCAGAGAUAACAGUGACUUCAAGAAAACCACGCAGCAAACGUUUUACUGAACAAUGACGACUUCGAACUCCUCAACUCCUGAACCAAAGCCUGAGACGUCCCCAGAGCCUGAAGGUGGACUGCACGGCACCCUGUUCCCUGAAUUAAUGGGUAACCAACAAGCGUUCAUCAUUAAUGGCGGUUUAAUCUUUUUGCUUUUCAUCUUCUGUAUCAUCCUACUGGUCCUGUUUCUCAAGCUGAAGAAGAGAUUUAAAAAGUUAAGCAGCGAGGUUUCUGAAUCACAGUAUCACUUGCGAGCAAGCACAGGGAAAAUCGAACCAAAAGUUUAGAUGUCACAGAUUGUUUAUAAUCCUGCACAGACGUUGAUCAGCGUUAAUCAUUUGAGACAAUUCAUAUCAAAUAUCGAUAAAAUAUCUAGAUAGUUUUAGUAAAAGCUCAAUGUAGAUUUUAAAAAAUUAAGAAAAAAAAUUAAGGGAGAAGGGAGGGAAGAUGAAAAAGGGAAACAUACUUUGUACCAU